CCUUAAGUGGGGAAUAACGCAUCGAAAGAUGUGCUAAUACCGCAUAUCUCUCAGGAGGAAAGCAGGGGAUCGAAAGACCUUGCGCUAAAGGAGCGGCUGAUGUCUGAUUANCUAGUUGGUGGGGUAAAGGCUUACCAAGGCAACGAUCAGUAGCUGGUCUGAGAGGACGACCAGCCACACUGGGACUGAGACACGGCCCAGACUCCUACGGGAGGCAGCAGUGGGGAAUUUUGGACAAUGGGCGAAAGCCUGAUCCAGCCAUGCCGCGUGAGUGAAGAAGGCCUUCGGGUUGUAAAGCUCUUUUAGUCGGAAAGAAAGAGUCAUAGUAAAUAGCUAUGAUUUAUGACGGUACCGACAGAAAAAGCACC
Molecule: ribosomal RNA, 368 nt
Filed under: uncultured beta proteobacterium PV3M
Lineage: Bacteria; Pseudomonadati; Pseudomonadota; Betaproteobacteria; Nitrosomonadales; Nitrosomonadaceae
Description: bacterial SSU rRNA
Rfam family: Bacterial small subunit ribosomal RNA
Source: RNAcentral